AGUGAACGCUGGCGGUAGGCCUAACACAUGCAAGUCGAACGGCAGCACAGUAAGAGCUUGCUCUUACGGGUGGCGAGUGGCGGACGGGUGAGGAAUACAUCGGAAUCUACUUUUUCGUGGGGGAUAACGUAGGGAAACUUACGCUAAUACCGCAUACGACCUACGGGUGAAAGCAGGGGAUCUUCGGACCUUGCGCGAUUGAAUGAGCCGAUGUCGGAUUAGCUAGUUGGCGGGGUAAAGGCCCACCAAGGCGACGAUCCGUAGCUGGUCUGAGAGGAUGAUCAGCCACACUGGAACUGAGACACGGUCCAGACUCCUACGGGACGCAGCAGUGGGGAAUAUUGGACAAUGGGCGCAAGCCUGAUCCAGCCAUACCGCGUGGGUGAAGAAGGCCUUCGGGUUGUAAAGCGCUUUUGUUGGGAAAGAAAAGCAGCAGGUUAAUACCCCGCUGUUCUGACGGUACCCAAAGAAUAAGCACCGGCUAACUUCGG
This 491-nucleotide ribosomal RNA is filed under the name uncultured bacterium. Its description in RNAcentral is "partial 16S ribosomal RNA". It matches the Rfam family "Bacterial small subunit ribosomal RNA", at positions 29 to 506 of the family's 1533-position model. The record is from RNAcentral.